This 469-nucleotide ribosomal RNA is filed under the name Peptostreptococcaceae bacterium canine oral taxon 066. RNAcentral's name for it is "bacterial SSU rRNA". It matches the Rfam family "Bacterial small subunit ribosomal RNA", at positions 9 to 474 of the family's 1533-position model. Lineage: Bacteria; Bacillati; Bacillota; Clostridia; Peptostreptococcales; Peptostreptococcaceae. The record is from RNAcentral.
GAGUUUGAUUCUGGCUCAGGAGGAACGCUGGCGGCGUGCCUAACACAUGCAAGUCGAGCGAGAAAUAAAGAAACGGAGAAUUCGUUCAAAGAUUCUUUAUGGAAAGCGGCGGACGGGUGAGUAACGCGUAGGCAACCUGCCUCAUACAAAGGGAUAGCCUCGGGAAACCGGGAUUAAAACCUUAUAAAACCGAAGGAGCACAUGCUUCAUCGGUCAAAGAUUUAUCGGUAUGAGAUGGGCCUGCGUCUGAUUAGCUGGUUGGUGAGGUAACGGCUCACCAAGGCGACGAUCAGUAGCCGACCUGAGAGGGUAAACGGCCACAUUGGAACUGAGACCCGGUCCAAACUCCUACGGGAGGCAGCAGUGGGGAAUAUUGCACAAUGGGCGAAAGCCUGAUGCAGCAACGCCGCGUGAGUGAUGAAGGCCCUUGGGUCGUAAAACUCUGUUGAGAGGGAAGAAAAAAAUGACG